UUUUUCAAGUGUUAUCACAACUAGGGUGAUAAGCACAGCCGCUCGGCACUCGUCGGACUUUUCUACUAUUGUGCCAAUGUGUUUGAACGUCACUGAAUACAAUAUUUUGGAAAUCGGCAAGAAAUGUUUAAUUUUUCGUAAAAUGUGUGAGCAAGAUGUGAAGAAUAUUGUAGAGAAGUGAAAAUGGAAGAUGACUUCGGACGAGAAGCUGCAUCUUCUGUGAAGGAUUAGUGAUAAAAGUCGGUCAACUGCAAGGCAAGUUGCAGAAGAUGGGCUCGGAGAGAAAUUGCCGAAGAACAUCUUCCGUGCGCAUAUUCUUCAGCAUUACUUCAAUGAAUUGCUGACAAACUGAGAUAGGACGAUUUCUGGAGUAAAAGAAUCACUGUGGAGCGAUUUUUAAACAACCCGACGAAUCCGCAGUAGACGCUGAACGCGCCAUCAGAUAUUGAGAGUGGGCGAAUCAUCAAUUUUUGUUAGGAAAUCAUUCGUCCCGAAUUAAAAUUUAGGAGGAAUUCUUCCAAGAUGUCAUCAGAAUAUUGCAGAAUUAGUUCACCUUCUGUACUUUCCUGGACUAAAAGAUGCCGCGAAUAAAGAUCAACUCUAUUUGAAGGAAUGUAAUUCAACUUAAUUCGCGGCUCUAGAUCUCGUUAACGCUCUCACUAGCGUUUACUCGGAAAAUUCGCCUUCCGCGAUAUAAAAUACAGGAUUUGCAAUGUAAUGAAUCACGAUCAUAAUAUUUUUUGGCCAAAUUAUUUAAAAAAAAAUCAUGUAAAAUUGGUAUUAAAUGCAUGAACUUCCACAUAAAAUAAUGCUUGAUAGUUUUAUAUAAUUUAAAUUUUGUGAGGAAAUAAGAGAAAUAAAAACCUUGCAUAAAAUACACUUUAAAUUUGUGUUCUUGGCUGUGUUGGAGCAUAAGAUUAUAAAUUACUACUUUUUUUUUGCAAUUUUUUAGUCCAUGUCGAAUUAAAAUCAAAAUUGAUGUUGCAAUUAACUUAAACCAUUACGGCAUAAACACCCUCAAUGAUUUCUCCCCAUAGAAAUGUUAUAUAUUAUUAUUUUUAUUAUUUAUAAAGGCAGUGUAAUGAGAAAAUAACCAUAUUUUUUUAUUUGCAUUCUUCUUUGAUAGCUUACAAGCUAUUAAUUCCCAAUCAACUAAAAAUACCUUCCAAAGCAGUCGUCAUCUGACCAGCGUAGACACGAUACAAGAUGUUAAACUCAUGCAAAAUACACAGAAGUCAGUAGAGAUAUCUAUCAGUCAAUGGAAAGUUGUUACAUUUCGAACUUUCCAAUGUGUAGGAAAAUCAAAUUUGAGGACAAGACGGACAUACAGGCAUAUCAGCUACUUACUACAGUUUUUACUUGUUUUACUGCA
This is a long non-coding RNA of Phlebotomus argentipes, 1372 nucleotides long. RefSeq lists it as uncharacterized. The transcript has 2 exons. NCBI's taxonomy places the organism in Eukaryota, Metazoa, Arthropoda, Insecta, Diptera, Psychodidae. The record is from RefSeq and is a predicted model, not a curated record.